RNAcentral lists this long non-coding RNA (2079 nucleotides) under Salvia miltiorrhiza (redroot sage). RNAcentral's name for it is "long non-coding RNA (SMIL_LNC007129)". The record is from RNAcentral. Lineage: Eukaryota; Viridiplantae; Streptophyta; Magnoliopsida; Lamiales; Lamiaceae.
GAAUAUAAACCGAAUUUAAUCGAGUAGAGAAUGGUCUGAACCCAAAGCGUAAGAUAAGAUCAAUUUACAUUAGUAAACUGUACAAGAGUCGCCAUGAUAUACAAAAUAGGAAGCGGGUGGAGAUACACAAAAGAGUUGUUCCAUUAAAGGAACUAGUUAUAUACAAUAGGAAAAGGAUCUUCAUCUCAGCACCACACUCCACAUCCGGCGCUCAACCUGCAAACAUUUUAAAAAGAUUUGGCUGAGCACUAUUGUACUCAGUGUGCUAUUGCCGUUUAUAAAACAUUUGAAAGAAUCAUAUAAUAAAAUGUUUCAUGCUUAACAGUAUGCAUAUGAAGUUUUUAAACAUAAAUCAUACAUCAUAAGCAUACAAAACUUUACUUUCUUAACUGCAUCUACUAUUGGUAUAACAUAUAACUGUAUGAUCGUCGAGGAAUUUUCUUCCACAUACGAUUCCCUUCAUCAGAACUGAGGAACCUGGCCAAGUUCUACCCAUUUCUGACUUCCGUGCGCACUACACUCUGGCUAGUACUAGCACAGAGCACGAUCGUUAACUCCUUGUUAAUUGGCAAAGCCAACUUCAUGCCAGUUAAUAGCACAUACCCAACAGAGAGUAAAACAUUGAAGCAUGAACAUUCAUGUUUGCUUUUAUAAACAUCAGAGCUUAAUAACUCAAAAGUACAUUUGAACAUAAACACACCUGAUACACAAGAUGGUUUUGGUCCCGCUAUAGAGUGGUUCCACUUAGGUAUCCUCUUCAGUUAGGCCUACAAUAUAAACCUUAGGUUUAGUGCCGAUAAACUAAAGCUACAACAUUAUCAUAUAUAAUCUACUCUUCAUCAUAGGUCUAUACUUCAAUCCUAGAUUCACAUUACCGACCUAAUAAAUUAUCGUUUUAGUAUAUCAUGAGUAUGCAUGCUUAUUACUCAAUAGUAACAUAAUAUCUCAACUUAAUGCAAAGUACAUAAUCAACCUUCCAUAUUUCACUCAACUUCAAAAAAAUAUUAUCAACUCAUUGAAAUUGAAUCAGAGAAUAUGACAUAUGAUUUUGAAAACCUCUAGAUGUCUAUUUUCUUUUAGAAGAAACUAUGAAUUAAAAUAUUUAUUAGAUUAUGAGAUGUGUACAAUUUAGUAAGAUCUACCAAAAAUGGACAGUUUUAAACCAUAUAAUUAGAAAUUACUUGAAAAAAUACUAAACCUCAUACAAUGAAGCUGAAAUUUAAACCACAAGAUCACAAAACAUUAUACUUAAUAUAGGAAAAGUUUCAGAUUAAUAUAACUAUAUAUAUGGCUUUUCAAAUAAUUUGUGAAACAUUAACAAAAAUAACUGUCCAAUAAAAGUACACUGUAAUUUACUCAAUUGUAAAAUUUGUAUAUUAUUAUAUACAAUAGAGAAAAUUAUAAGACAUACAUUUCCAGAAACCUAUGAAUGUCUAGUUUCGUUAAAAAUAGAAUGGUACUGAAAAAUACCAAACGAACAGAGAGUAAAACACCUUGUACCAUAACCUAGCAAAACUGUUCCAUUUUGACCAACAUUUUUAAAACUAAGAGUAAACAUAUAAGAUGAACUCCAAUAGCUAUGGAAUUUUACAUGGAGGAUAUAAACAUAAUAAAGUUGAUUCAGUAAAAUUUUCAAAUCAAAAGGACCCUUAAAACUUAUCGAAACAUCAAGUUGAAAACACUGCCAAGACAGAGGAUUUUUCACAGUUUUGGCAACAAUUUUCCAUCAUUUUUGAAAUAUAUUAAAUCGUCAUUAAAAAUUCUGAAAUUUAACAUUAUAACACUAGAAACACCAAAUAAUACACAGAAAAAUUGAAAAUCAAUAUUCAUUCAUUUCAACUAUAGAAGACAAGCUCAACAAAUUGGACAAAGAUUCUGGCCGAAAACAGGGGAUUUCAGCCCUUGACUCUAUAUGCACUUUCUUAUACAAAACUUUAAUUAUCCUGAUUCUAACAUAAACCUUUCACAAAAUUAGCCCUAUAUGAACACCUAAUUUCAAGAAUUAAAAGAAUCCAUGAGAAGCAUGAAGACCUUAAACUCUAUUAUUCACCUUCUCUCAAAACUAGUGUUCUAUCGAAA